This 156-nucleotide ribosomal RNA is filed under the name Galerina minima. RNAcentral describes it as "5.8S ribosomal RNA". It matches the Rfam family "5.8S ribosomal RNA". Rfam says of the family: 5.8S ribosomal RNA (5.8S rRNA) is a component of the large subunit of the eukaryotic ribosome. It is transcribed by RNA polymerase I as part of the 45S precursor that also contains 18S and 28S rRNA. Functionally, it is thought that 5.8S rRNA may be involved in ribosome translocation. The record is from RNAcentral. Lineage: Eukaryota; Fungi; Basidiomycota; Agaricomycetes; Agaricales; Galerinaceae.
AACUUUCAGCAACGGAUYUCUUGGCUCUCGSAUCSAUGAAGAACGCAGCGAAAUGCGAUAAGUAAUGKGAAUKGCAGAAUUCAGUGAAUCAUCGAAUCUUUGAACGCACCUUGCGCUCCUUGGUAUUCCGAGGAGCAUGCCUGUUUGAGUGUCMUU